This 280-nucleotide ribosomal RNA is filed under the name uncultured bacterium. RNAcentral describes it as "partial 16S ribosomal RNA". It matches the Rfam family "Bacterial small subunit ribosomal RNA", at positions 32 to 301 of the family's 1533-position model. The record is from RNAcentral.
AAUCAACGCUGGCGGCGUGCCUCAGACAUGCAAGUCGAACGAUUAAAGCUCUCUUCGGAGAGUGUAUAGAGUGGCGCACGGGUGAGUAACACGUAAGUAAUCUACCUUUGAGUGGGGAAGUAACAAUCGGAAACGAUUGCUAAUACCGCAUAAUGCAGCGGCAUCGCAAGAUGACAGUUGUUAAAGGAGCAAUCCGCUUAAAGAGGAGCUUGCGGCAGAUUAGCUAGUUGGUAAGGUAAUGGCUUACCAAGGCUACGAUCUGUAUCCGGUCUAAGAGGAC